AGUCCGGGCUCCGAGUGGUCAGUCUCAGGCCUCCCGCCGCUCCGCGCGCACGCGCAGUACUCACCAACAGGUCCGCUGCGCCCAGGCAACCCGGCCCCCGUCGCCCCCUACCGGCCCGAGGCCUCCAACCAGCCAAUAGACUACGACAUCAGGUCAGCUCCAGUUCGUGAAGGACCCUUAAACAAUAGAAGCAACAACCAAAAAGACAUCAGAGGACAAAGGAAACCAAAUCUCACCAGACAGCUUGGGAUCUUCUGUUCACGCUGAAGAAAUAUCGAAUCCAUAUUUCAGAAAUCAAAUCCAUAUUUCAGAAAUUAAGAUUCUCGUGAGGAUUUAAGAAAAUUAUAUAAAGAAAGUGGCCUGAAGCCAGGCAUGUGGCAGCACAACACAUGAGAUCCUUCCAUCUGUUUUCUCUGGAUAUUCAAAAUUUUAAAGCAAGGAAUGUGUGAG
This is a long non-coding RNA of Suricata suricatta (meerkat), 450 nucleotides long. RefSeq lists it as uncharacterized. The record is from RefSeq and is a predicted model, not a curated record. Lineage: Eukaryota; Metazoa; Chordata; Mammalia; Carnivora; Herpestidae. The transcript is spliced from 3 exons.